AGUUUUCGAGGGCUCCACUUCGGAAACAGGCCCCUGCCCGAGCUCCCCAGAGCUCAGCUCUGCGGCAACCCCGCGGAGAUGCGCUCUCUCCCUCGGUGAGCCACCUGGGACGGUGCGGUCUCCUUUCCAGAAGAGGAAGUUCCCAUCCUAUCCUUGCACAACCCAAUGAUCUGUUAAAAGUAUUUUCCUACAAGUAAAGGGGAUUACUCCCAGAAGAGAGCUGGUUCCACGUCCACAGGAGACAGGAGGGAGGACUUAGAGGCCACAUUCUGCACACCCAUUCUGUACCUAUUGGGAGACCCAAGUCGAAGUCUGGAAAAGGGGCCGGAACUGCCCUGGGGGAGAAGGGAGAUCAGUGGACCUGAGAUCAACCAGCUGCCUUCCCAGCGCUGGGACCUUGCCCGUCUCAGCCAGAGGCGGGGACGCGGGCCACGUGGCUGCGAGCUGUGGGACCCGCGCACGCCGUGGGGGCCCCUGGGCCGGAUGACGCUGCAGGCUCGGUCACCCUCAGCACUGCCCGCUGCGAGGAGGCCGCGAUUGCUCCCAGGUUCUUUUUGAAGAAGAGUUCGGGGCUGUCGUCCCGGUGGGAACCCCUUGGACACCCUGAAGCCCUUAUGUGACACACCAUAGACCUGACAGGGCCGACCAUUCAGUCAACAACUGGAAAACCUAAAGUCCACUUUGAGCUGAAUGGAAGGAAGAGAUGAUUAAGAAAAUUCAAGAAGAGCAGCUGGAUUGUAAAAGUAGAGCCCUGAGUCAGAAGAUUUUAAUCCCCCAGGUUCUGGACAUCGGUAUGAGACCAUGGCUGAGUGCUCAAGAAAACAUGGUGAGUCUCAGGAGUGGUGCAAAGAACACAUCUC
RNAcentral lists this long non-coding RNA (860 nucleotides) under Chinchilla lanigera (long-tailed chinchilla). RNAcentral describes it as "lncRNA (ENSCLAG00000025873.1)". Lineage: Eukaryota; Metazoa; Chordata; Mammalia; Rodentia; Chinchillidae. The record is from RNAcentral.